GUGUCAGCAGCCGCGGUAAUACGUAGGGUGCGAGCGUUAAUCGGAAUUACUGGGCGUAAAGGGGGCGUAGGCGGUAAAAGAAGUCAUCUGUGAAAACCUAUUGCUCAACGAUAGGCUAGCGGAUGAAACUGAAUUACUUGAGGGCACCAGAGGUAGACGGAAUUACCCGAGUAGGGGUGAAAUCCGCAGAUACGGGUAGGAACGCCGGUGGAGAAGUCGGUCUACUGGGGUGUAACAGACGCUGAGGCCCGAAAGCUAGGGGAGCAAACCGGAUUAGAUACCCGGGUAGUCCUAGCCGUAAACGAUGCUCACUAGGUGUAGGGAGUGACAAACUCUCUGUACUGAAGCAAACGCGCUAAGUGAGCCGCCUGGGGAGUACGGCCGCAAGGAUGAAACUUAAAUAAAUUGGCGG
This 412-nucleotide ribosomal RNA is filed under the name uncultured bacterium. Its description in RNAcentral is "bacterial SSU rRNA". It matches the Rfam family "Bacterial small subunit ribosomal RNA", at positions 505 to 916 of the family's 1533-position model. The record is from RNAcentral.